CCAACCGUAUCCCGGGCAUCAAAAGCAGCGUGGCCAGCAGGGCGAGGGAGGGGAUUCUGCCCCCCUGCUCCUCUCCGGUGAGACCCCACCUGGAGUACUGCAUCCAGCUCCGGAGCCCCCAGUGUAAGAAGGACAUGGAGCUGUUGGAGUGGGUCCAGAGGAGGGUGUCGCAGCUGAGUGGAAUGCACCUCACUCAAGAGAAGCAGCAGUAUGUUUUAUUGAGUUGUAUUUGGAAGAUGGCAAGAGACAAAAAACCACUGAAAACUGAGGGAGUAUUUGAGUGAAUGGCUGCCCUAAAUUGAAUUCCCUUGGGGACCUUAAAGAAGAUCAACCAAGUGCCGGAAAGUGCAGAUGGUACCUUCAACAGCGUGCUGGCAAGGCACUGACAGCCUUGGGAGCUGCUCGGCUGCAGGGAGCUGGCUGCCACAUGGUGCCAAGCAACACAGGUCCCCUUCGGAUGCUGGGUGGGGCUAUAAGGUCUCCCCGGAGCCUUCUCUUCUCCAGGCUGAACACCCCCAAACUCUCUCAACCUGUCUUCAUAGCAGAGGUGCUCCAGCCCUCUGAGCAUCUUUGUGGCCUCCUUUGGACCUGCUCCAACAGGUCCACGUCCUUCUUAUGUUGGGGGCCCCAGAGCUGGACACGGUACUGCAGGUGGGGUCUCACCAGAGCGGAGCAGAGGGGCAGAAUCCCCUCCCUCGUCCUGCUGGCCACGCUGCUUUUGAUGCAGCCCGGAACGGGGCUGGCUUUCUGGGCUGCGAGCGCACAUUGCCGGCUCAAUGCUCAAUCAUUCCUCAAAAACACGCGUGAAACCCCCGAA
Molecule: long non-coding RNA, 817 nt
Organism: Chroicocephalus ridibundus (black-headed gull)
Lineage: Eukaryota; Metazoa; Chordata; Aves; Charadriiformes; Laridae
Exons: 3
Source: RefSeq, a predicted model, not a curated record